GUUUUAUCUCUAUCCUGACCAUGCCAGACUGGAGAAAUUUUAUUGUAUUAUAAAUAAUAUAGAGAUAGUCCUAAACUUAUGACAGUUCGUACAGUUGUGUAUGAAAUGUUCCAUUUAUGAUGAUAUUCUGCACUUUUAAAGGCCACUAUCAAUGCUUUUGUGAUAAUAGCAUCCAUUCAACUGGAAGAUCAAGCACUGCCAGAAUGAAAGUGUGCUCUACUUCUAUAAUGAAGUAUAUGUGUUUGAUUUUAGGCCCAAUAUCUCAAGACUUUUUCAGAAGAAUUUCAAACCUGGCCCAUUCAACACAAUCCUUCACUUGACUGUCAAUCCUUACCAUGGAUAUAAGCAGCCUGUGGUUUGUAGUAGAAUGUCUUACUGCUUUGUAUCCAAUAAGAAGAAAAUAGCUUAUGAUUCAAUAUAAAUAAUUAGUGCUUACACUAGUUUUCAAUGUACUUUAGUUAUAUAUUUUUGUUUCAAUUCAGAUUUACUCAAGAAUAUUUCCCAAAAUUUCUAUAAUGAAAUGAUAUAUAAUAAAGUAAUUCACUCAUCUGGUAACCUUUAAAUAAACAAGGGCAC
This 576-nucleotide long non-coding RNA is filed under the name Androctonus crassicauda. Lineage: Eukaryota; Metazoa; Arthropoda; Arachnida; Scorpiones; Buthidae. The record is from RNAcentral.